This 767-nucleotide ribosomal RNA is filed under the name uncultured Granulicatella sp. Its description in RNAcentral is "bacterial SSU rRNA". It matches the Rfam family "Bacterial small subunit ribosomal RNA", at positions 28 to 776 of the family's 1533-position model. Lineage: Bacteria; Bacillati; Bacillota; Bacilli; Lactobacillales; Carnobacteriaceae. The record is from RNAcentral.
GACGAACGCUGGCGGCGUGCCUAAUACAUGCAAGUCGAACGAGAGCGACCGGUGCUUGCACUGGUCAAUCUAGUGGCGAACGGGUGAGUAACACGUGGGUAACCUGCCCAUCAGAGGGGGAUAACAUUCGGAAACGGAUGCUAAAACCGCAUAGGUCCUUUAACCGCAUGGUUGAAGGAGGAAAAGAGGCGCAAGCUUCUACUGAUGGAUGGACCCGCGGUGCAUUAGCUAGUUGGUGAGGUAACGGCUCACCAAGGCCGUGAUGCAUAGCCGACCUGAGAGGGUGAUCGGCCACAUUGGGACUGAGACACGGCCCAAACUCCUACGGGAGGCAGCAGUAGGGAAUCUUCCGCAAUGGACGCAAGUCUGACGGAGCAACGCCGCGUGAGUGAAGAAGGUUUUCGGAUCGUAAAACUCUGUUGUUAGAGAAGAACAAGUGCUAGAGUAACUGUUAGCGCCUUGACGGUAUCUAACCAGAAAGCCACGGCUAACUACGUGCCAGCAGCCGCGGUAAUACGUAGGUGGCAAGCGUUGUCCGGAUUUAUUGGGCGUAAAGCGAGCGCAGGCGGUUCCUUAAGUCUGAUGUGAAAGCCCCCGGCUCAACCGGGGAGGGUCAUUGGAAACUGGGGAACUUGAGUGCAGAAGAGGAGAGUGGAAUUCCAUGUGUAGCGGUGAAAUGCGUAGAUAUAUGGAGGAACACCAGUGGCGAAGGCGACUCUCUGGUCUGUAACUGACGCUGAGGCUCGAAAGCGUGGGUAGCAAACAGG